GCUUAUAUAGCUCAAUUGGUAGAGCAAAAGAUUGAAAAUCUUUAUUACGUAAGUUCGAUUCUUACUAUAAGCA
RNAcentral lists this transfer RNA (73 nucleotides) under Jenufa minuta. RNAcentral's name for it is "tRNA-Phe". It matches the Rfam family "tRNA". Rfam says of the family: Transfer RNA (tRNA) molecules are approximately 80 nucleotides in length. Their secondary structure includes four short double-helical elements and three loops (D, anti-codon, and T loops). Lineage: Eukaryota; Viridiplantae; Chlorophyta; Chlorophyceae. The record is from RNAcentral.